GACGAACGCUGGCGGCGUGCUUAACACAUGCAAGUCGAACGGAAAGGCCCUGCUUUUGUGGGGUGCUCGAGUGGCGAACGGGUGAGUAACACGUGAGUAACCUGCCCUUGACUUUGGGAUAACUUCAGGAAACUGGGGCUAAUACCGGAUAGGAGCUCCUGCUGCAUGGUGGGGGUUGGAAAGUUUCGGCGGUUGGGGAUGGACUCGCGGCUUAUCAGCUUGUUGGUUGGGUAGUGGCUUACCAAGGCUUUGACGGGUAGCCGGCCUGAGAGGGUGACCGGCCACAUUGGGACUGAGAUACGGCCCAGACUCCUACGGGAGGCAGCAGUGGGGAAUAUUGCACAAUGGGCGGAAGCCUGAUGCAGCAACGCCGCGUGCGGGAUGACGGCCUUCGGGUUGUAAGCCGCUUUCGCCUGUGACGAAGCGUGAGUGACGGUAAUGGGUAAAGAAGCACCGGCUAACUACGUG
Molecule: ribosomal RNA, 468 nt
Filed under: uncultured bacterium
Lineage: Bacteria
Description: partial 16S ribosomal RNA
Rfam family: Bacterial small subunit ribosomal RNA
Source: RNAcentral